Molecule: long non-coding RNA, 1257 nt
Filed under: Anolis carolinensis (green anole)
Lineage: Eukaryota; Metazoa; Chordata; Lepidosauria; Squamata; Anolidae
Description: lncRNA (ENSACAG00000042591.1)
Source: RNAcentral
UUUACAGUAGAGUCUCACUUAUCCAACAUUCUGGAUUAUCCAACACAUUUUUGUAGUCAAGGUUUUCAAUAUAUCGUGAUAUUUUGGUGCUAAAUUCGUAAAUAUAGUAAUUACAACAUAACAUUACUGCGUAUUGAACUACUUUUUCUGUCAAAUUUGGUGUAUAACAUGAUGUUUUGGUGCUUAAUUUGUAAAAUCAUAACCUAAUUUGAUGUUUAAUAGACUUUUCCUUAAUCCCUCCUUAUUAUCCAACAUAUUCGCUUAUCCAACGUUCUGCCGGCCCGUUUAUGUUGGAUAAGUGAGACUCUACUGUAUAUGGGCACCUUUAAGUAUAGUAGAAAAUAACAUUUGUAAAGUUGAUUGAAGUUCAGACACUGGAUUACUGACAGGGAGUGUGAAGAACAGCAGACAUAACAGACUCAGUCCUCUCCAAUAACCACAAUUCCUUCCUCCAAAUCUUCCUCUAGGACAGUGGUUCUCAACCUGUUAUCAGCUGUUAAGAUUUCUGGGAGUUGAAAGCCAAAACACCUGGGGACCCAAGGUUGAGAACCACUGCAGUAGGAGGAGGAUUUGGUCUAAUCCUGCAUUCAAUUGCAGAGCUGCCAGAGUGGACAAGUGCAAAGAUGAAGAAAGAAAAUACCAUGGGAACCUGACCCUCAACACUGGGAGAAAAAGACAUCCCAGUAGUAAGUCUUCUGAAGGGGAGUUUCAAGCUGUGUGUAUUCGAAUGGCUCCUGGAGGAGAUAGCUCCGCCUGACAGUAGAACAGAAGUGGAUGAAAUGCUGGUGAAAACUUCUUGAAUGGUUGCAUUCCACGUGGAUAAAUUUCAAAGAUAUCAUCAAGUGUCAAGAAAGUGAAUUCAUUGGAUGGAUUUUUUUCAUAGGAUGGAAUAAAAUGUGGAAUUUGAGAAGGAAAUCAAAUGAAGUUGGAGCCAUAGCAAUCAUUUAAGAAAGUGUUCCAGAUUAAAAGUCACAACAUGAAGAAACAGCAAAGGUACUUGAGACCCCAAGUGGCCAUAUAACAAUUCUAAGGGUUGAACAGGACGUAUAUGGCUCAGAGCCUGGCCAUCUAAGGGACAGUCUGAUUCAUUAUGAACUUGCUUGGGACUUUUAAGAAUACCGUCACUUAUAAAGGCCCUCUGGUUGGGCUUUUGGUAUUGCUUCCAGAAUAUGAAAUGCAUUGUCCUCAGGGUUAUGACUACUCCCUACUCUUACCACUUUUAGUUAGAGUGUGAAGACAUGUCUCUUCAAACUGACC